RNAcentral lists this ribosomal RNA (492 nucleotides) under uncultured bacterium. RNAcentral's name for it is "partial 16S ribosomal RNA". It matches the Rfam family "Bacterial small subunit ribosomal RNA", at positions 29 to 507 of the family's 1533-position model. The record is from RNAcentral.
AGUGAACGCUGGCGGUAGGCCUAACACAUGCAAGUCGAACGGCAGCACAGUAAGAGCUUGCUCUUACGGGUGGCGAGUGGCGGACGGGUGAGGAAUACAUCGGAAUCUACUUUUUCGUGGGGGAUAACGUAGGGAAACUUACGCUAAUACCGCAUACGACCUACGGGUGAAAGCAGGGGAUCUUCGCACCUUGCGCGAUUGAAUGAGCCGAUGUCGGAUUAGCUAGUUGGCGGGGUAAAGGCCCACCAAGGCGACGAUCCGUAGCUGGUCUGAGAGGAUGAUCAGCCACACUGGAACUGAGACACGGUCCAGACUCCUACGGGAGGCAGCAGUGGGGAAUAUUGGACAAUGGGCGCAAGCCUGACCCAGCCAUACCGCGUGGGUGAAGAAGGCCUUCGGGUUGUAAAGCCCUGUUGUUGGGAAAGAAAAGCAGCAGGUUAAUACCCCGCUGUUCUGACGGUACCCAAAGAAUAAGCACCGGCUAACUUCGUG